Molecule: unclassified non-coding RNA, 230 nt
Filed under: Oryza sativa (Asian cultivated rice)
Lineage: Eukaryota; Viridiplantae; Streptophyta; Magnoliopsida; Poales; Poaceae
Description: partial microRNA MIR460a precursor
Source: RNAcentral
GGUAGGCGACGUACCCGUCGAUAGCGAGGCGCCUGUGGUGACUUCGUCAAUCUCUCCAGGAUUUGCCAGUCUAGUCUUCAAAGAUGCUCAUAGGGGUAGGGUUUGCGUGCGUGUGUUCAUAGGGGGUGAGUGCGCUUACAUUGUGAGUGUCUGCGUUGUACUGUGUAAUUCUUAAAAAAAAAAGGACAAUGUAGCCGCGCUUCUCUAACGGGGGGACUGCUGAUCUGCGU